UGGCUAUGAUGAUAUUCCACUUCAGGUCCGUGUUUCUGAAGCCUGAUUAUUAUGGAAGUCCUGAGUGA
This 68-nucleotide small nucleolar RNA is filed under the name Monopterus albus (swamp eel). RNAcentral describes it as "Small nucleolar RNA SNORD18 (ENSMALG00000007848.1)". It matches the Rfam family "Small nucleolar RNA SNORD18". From Rfam's summary of the family: U18 is a member of the C/D class of snoRNA which contain the C (UGAUGA) and D (CUGA) box motifs. It is encoded in introns of ribosomal protein L1 in Xenopus and human, and in introns of elongation factor 1 beta in yeast. The record is from RNAcentral. Lineage: Eukaryota; Metazoa; Chordata; Actinopteri; Synbranchiformes; Synbranchidae.